Molecule: unclassified non-coding RNA, 94 nt
Filed under: uncultured Sporomusa sp.
Lineage: Bacteria; Bacillati; Bacillota; Negativicutes; Selenomonadales; Sporomusaceae
Description: PyrR
Source: RNAcentral
AUGGCCUUUAAGUUGGUCCUGUGAGGCUGGCAAGGGGACGGUAGUAGGGAAUUUUCGCCUUCUUGCGCGCUUUUCGUGCCAAGAAGGCUUUUAU